AGUCAAUAUUGACUUAAAUGACAUAACAUUCAAAGGUACCAGUUUGUACUGAAAGAAACCAGGUGUUUUUUCUGCGCUUUGAAGUAUUUGGGGGUUGCAACUUGCUGGACAUUAAAAGGUACCAGUUUGUACUGAAAGAAAUCAGGUGGUUUUUUCUGAGCUUUGAAGUAUGUGGGGGUUGCAACUUGCUGGACAUUCAAAGGUACCAGUUUGUACUGAAAGAAACCAGAUGGUUUUUUUUAUAAGCAAUGAAAUAUGAAGGGGGGAUUAGUGUUAAGAAAAAUAGGGGCAGAAUUCAGAAAGGGAG
RNAcentral lists this long non-coding RNA (307 nucleotides) under Mytilus galloprovincialis (Mediterranean mussel). Lineage: Eukaryota; Metazoa; Mollusca; Bivalvia; Mytilida; Mytilidae. The record is from RNAcentral.